This 705-nucleotide long non-coding RNA is filed under the name Homo sapiens (human). RNAcentral's name for it is "long intergenic non-protein coding RNA 2636". The record is from RNAcentral. Lineage: Eukaryota; Metazoa; Chordata; Mammalia; Primates; Hominidae.
AGGCUGGUCUCACUGUCAGCAUGCUCCCCCAACAGCAUCAAGUUUAUUUCCAGGCAGCAGGCGAGCAGGGCUGAGAACUUGUCCCAGGCUACAAGCCUCCCUGCUGACAACAGAAGCAGGGCUUUCAGGUUUUAUGCCUCUCUGCCUGCCACAGCUUCUGUGCUUGUAUCUGCACUCCCUGUUUGACCCCCUCCCCAGAUUCUGUCCAGGAAACUUCAUGUUCGGUAGAAAUUGUUAUAAAAUUCAACUGGAAGUUUUCCUCUCCCUCUGGUUUUUCCUCAAUUCCACUGGCAGCCCUCCCCAAGUUGCAAGAUAAAGACAGAAAAGGCUUCCCUGAGGACUGAGAGUGCCCACAGGGCUCUUGCUGCUGCUUUCUCUACCCCUAUAUUUUGUGCGGCUCUCAGCAUUUGUCUCAGCUCCAGAAGAACCCAGCUUGCUUUGGAACUACAGUCAGCCCUGCAACCCACCCUCACCUUGGACCCUGCUGCUGCUGUCUGUAAAGACAAUGCUGCGAUGAAUACACCUGUGCAUUCUUUUUUAGAACAAGUGUAAGAAUUCCUAUGUGCAGCUGGAAAAGUGCUGACCAGAGCAUUGUUGAAGGCCGUAUAGUAAGAAUGGCAAAGCUUCCCUACCAGCCCAACUGACUGUUUUGUGGUGCAGAGGCCAUCUAUUAUGUGAGAGAGAGCAAUAAAUAUAUAUAUAUAU